UGGGGAAUUUUGGACAAUGGGCGCAAGCCUGAUCCAGCCAUGCCGCGUGCGGGAAGAAGGCCUUCGGGUUGUAAACCGCUUUUGUCAGGGAAGAAACGAUCCGGCCUAAUACGCUGGAUUAAUGACGGUACCUGAAGAAUAAGCACCGGCUAACUACGUGCCAGCAGCCGCGGUAAUACGUAGGGUGCGAGCGUUAAUCGGAAUUACUGGGCGUAAAGCGUGCGCAGGCGGCUUUGCAAGACAGAUGUGAAAUCCCCGGGCUUAACCUGGGAACUGCAUUUGUGACUGCAAGGCUGGAGUACGGCAGAGGGGGAUGGAAUUCCGCGUGUAGCAGUGAAAUGCGUAGAUAUGCGGAGGAACACCGAUGGCGAAGGCAAUCCCCUGGGCCUGUACUGACGCUCAUGCACGAAAGCGUGGGGAGCAAACAGG
RNAcentral lists this ribosomal RNA (429 nucleotides) under uncultured bacterium. Its description in RNAcentral is "bacterial SSU rRNA". It matches the Rfam family "Bacterial small subunit ribosomal RNA", at positions 355 to 776 of the family's 1533-position model. The record is from RNAcentral.